RNAcentral lists this ribosomal RNA (253 nucleotides) under uncultured bacterium. RNAcentral describes it as "partial 16S ribosomal RNA". It matches the Rfam family "Bacterial small subunit ribosomal RNA", at positions 524 to 776 of the family's 1533-position model. The record is from RNAcentral.
UACGUAGGGUCCGAGCGUUGUCCGGAAUUAUUGGGCGUAAAGAGCUCGUAGGCGGUCUGUCGCGUCGGCUGUGAAAACACGGGGCUCAACUCCGUGCCUGCAGUCGAUACGGGCAGACUAGAGUUCGGUAGGGGAGACUGGAAUUCCUGGUGUAGCGGUGAAAUGCGCAGAUAUCAGGAGGAACACCGGUGGCGAAGGCGGGUCUCUGGGCAGAAACUGACGCUGAGGAGCGAAAGCGUGGGGAGCGAACAGG